Molecule: small nuclear RNA, 274 nt
Filed under: Castor canadensis (American beaver)
Lineage: Eukaryota; Metazoa; Chordata; Mammalia; Rodentia; Castoridae
Description: 7SK RNA (ENSCCNG00000002540.1)
Rfam family: 7SK RNA
About the family: 7SK was discovered as an abundant small nuclear RNA in the mid-70s but a possible function has only recently been suggested. Two independent studies have found that 7SK RNA binds the CDK9/cyclin T complex (known as elongation factor P-TEFb).
Source: RNAcentral
GGCUGUGAGAACAAUCUGGCUGCAACAGCUGUCACCCCAUUAAUCAUUGUCACCCAUUGAUUCCACUGAUCUAGCUGGCUAGGCGGUUGCCCCUUUCCUCCCUUAUCACUCCAUGUGUCUCUCUGCUGAAGGUGCAUGGCCGAAGAGGACGACCAUCCCCCAAAGAGGAGGACCAUUCUUUGCUUACAGGUACAUGAGUAGCUGUGCUCCCCUGCUAGAACCUCAAAACAAGCUUUCAGUAUUCAAAAUAUAUAAAGGUACAAAUAAAGUUUCU